UACACUGCAUUCCUGGCCAGUCGCAUUUGUUUUAAUGCAGGCAUGGCCACAGCUCUCCUAGAGAAUUAUCUCAAAGACCAGAAGGGACCUGGAGAGGCCUAUUUCUUAGGUUUUUCCAGUUGGACAAGGAAGGAGUGGUUUCACUCAGCUUCUAGAAGGAGUUGGAGCCUAAGUUUAUCUGCCUCCGGGAGCUGCUUGCUUUGUUUUGGCUCCGAAGAGGUAUCAGAUAGUUUUGACACCUCAGGAAACUUGAACCAAGCUGUGAAACCAAGACCUCCCUGCGUGAAAAUCAAGGUGGUCUCCUUGUGGCUUCACCAGGAUGUUUGUGUCAGGCUGUCUCAGCAGGGUGGGGAAUGACCAGCCAGGGAGCACAGUGAGCCUUACUCAGCACUGGGGAGCGCACUGGUGAGGCAAACCCAUGAACCUCAAGAACUGGGAGUAUGUUCCUUCAGGGAGAAGUUCUGGCCCAUUGCACAAACACUUGGAAAUUAACUUUUCCCUAAAUUCAAGAUAGUGUGGUGUCGGAAGGAAAUGGGACAGUAAAUUAGGAGACGCGGGCUCCACCUUUACCUUACUACGUGGCCUUUGAUGAGCUGGCUUAACAUCCCUGAGUGAUUCCAUGAUAGAGAUCUAUACUCCAAACUUUAUUCCUGGUAUCUAGUUGGCUUCACUGCCACAGACACUGUACUCUCUCUUUUUAGAAGUUUUUUUCCUUUUUUUUCCCCCUCAAUUGGCUUAUUUAGUAAAUUUAGGUCUGAAUGAAUUGGUACCUAAAAGCUUCCAAAUCUAUACAUUUCAGAAUAUGGGAAUUUUCUUCCUCUUCUUCCCCCAUAUCCCAACAUGGAAUUCUGGAAAACUGUGCCUCUUCCCCUGUUCUGCCUUCAUGGGGGAGAGACUGGAUGAAAUCUACAAAAACAGCCAAAAGUGCCACCCUGGCUUCAUGUCUUGAAUUUCUAACUUGCUCUUGGCAAAGGUCGCUUUAUUUUUUAAUUUUUUUCCUUGCAUUUUCUUUUUUAUUCUAUUGCUGCUGCAAAAAUUAAGGCAAAAGUAGCUUUCGAUCUUUCAUAUUUCAUCCUGGUUUCACAAGGAGUCACUUAUCUUAGGAGGUCUGUAAGUCAGGUUACAAGGCCGGGAGCGGUGGCUCACACCUGUAAUCCCAACACUUUGAGCGGCUGAGGUGGGUGUAUCACCUGAAGUCCGGAGUUUGAGACCAGCCUGGCCAACAUGGUGAAACCCCGUCUCUACUAAAAAUACAAAAAAUUGGCUGGGCAUGGUGGUGGGUGCCUGUAAUCCCAGCUACUUGGGAAGCUGAAGCAGGAGAAUCACUUAAACCCAGGUGGCGGAGGUUGCAGUGAGCCGACAUCGCGCCAUUGCACUCCAGCCUGGGUGACGAGUGAAACUCCAUCUCAAAAAUAAAAAUUGAAAAAUCAGGUUACAAAACACCAUUUUUCCCGAAAUAAGACAAUAAGAGGCUUUUCUCUGAAUUCCUUUAUAUUGAGCCUUUCAGAAUUCUCCCUGGGUGGGCAAUUUCUUUAAAUAGUAUUUGACCCUCAGAUCAAUCCUGGGAAUUUUUUUCAUUUGGGUAGCAAAAGCUAGAGUAUUGCUGUGGCGAUUAUAAUACUUUUAAAAAGUUUUACCAUUUUAAAGUUGCCAACAUUUAAUUAAGGUUUUCCUUUGAAGCCUCCUUUAAUUUAGGGAGUAAAAUGUUAGCUAAACCAAUUAUAUACUAUAUACUAUACACUGUAUCUCCUGUGGCCAUGAGAGGUGUGGCUAUACCGAACAGAAACAUGCCUACUGUUCAGGAAAGAUGUCAGUUCUGGUAACACCUCUCUGUAUUGGGAUCUGUUAAUUUUGUAAAUCUAAAUUCUUCUGCUCUUGGCCAGGUGCAGUAGUUCAUGCCCUGUAAUCCUAGAACUUUGGGAGGCUGAAGGGGGGGCGGAUCAUUUGAGGUCAGGAGUUUGAGACCAGCCUGGCCAACAUGGUGAAACCCCAUCUCUACUAAAAAGUACAAAAAUUAGCUGGGUGUGGUGGUGCGUGCCUGUAAUCCCAACUACUUGGGAGGCUGAGGCAGGAGAAUCGCUUGAACCUGGGAGGCAGCGGUUGCAGUAAGCCAAGACUAUGCCACUGCACUCCCGCCUGGGUGACAAAGCAAUAUUCUGUGUCAAAUAAAUAAAUUCAUUCUUCUGCUCUCCUGACUUAGAGAAAUGGUUUGCUUAAAAUGCUAGUAACAAACAUCACAGUCAACAGGAGCUUGCUUCAUGCGAAGGAUCAAUGUGAUUUGUGGAUGGAGAUGAUAGUGAUGAAAUUCCUGUUUCAUGGGGCUGUUUUUCUUUUCAUCUCACUGGGCAGCAGGUUUAGUGAGGCAGUGAGAUGCUGCUGCUGUGGAUUCUUGUAGCUAUGCCUCGGCUUCUUGGCAUAUCAGGUAGGAACCUGUUACAAGUGAAAUACUUGAAACCUCUCUGACCAAGAGCCUCUGAUGGAGUGGGAGGUGAGCUAAUUCUCUGACCAGCUUGGGGCACUGUUUCAGCCACUGGUCACAUUCCUUGCUUCAAACUGAAAUUCAGUUUGGCUUUGAGUAUAGGGAUACAUGGUGGAUUCAUGUACUUCAGUGUUUGUUUUGACCAAAGUUUAUUUUUCUAGUGCAUUUUCUAAGUCAAAGUGGUGAAAAUAUGUAAUAAUUUUAGUAUGCAUGACUCAGUCUGAAACAAUAAAAAUCUCUGAAAAAUGUG
This 2729-nucleotide long non-coding RNA is filed under the name Homo sapiens (human). RNAcentral's name for it is "non-protein coding lnc-TTPAL-1:1". Lineage: Eukaryota; Metazoa; Chordata; Mammalia; Primates; Hominidae. The record is from RNAcentral.